AGAGUUUGAUCCUGGCUCAGAUUGAACGCUGGCGGCAUGCUUUACACAUGCAAGUCGAACGCGGGUGAGGGGCAACUCUCACCUGAGUGGCGAACGGGUGAGUAAUACAUCGGAACGUGUCCCGUAGUGGGGGAUAACCCGGCGAAAGCCGGACUAAUACCGCAUAUGCUCUACGGAGGAAAGUGGGGGACCCGCAAGGGCCUCAUGCUAUGGGAGCGGCCGAUGUCCGAUUAGCUUGUUGGCGGGGUAAAGGCCCACCAAGGCGACGAUCGGUAGCUGGUCUGAGAGGAUGAUCAGCCACACUGGGACUGAGACACGGCCCAGACUCCUACGGGAGGCAGCAGUGGGGAAUUUUGGACAAUGGGGGCAACCCUGAUCCAGCCAUGCCGCGUGAGUGAAGAAGGCCUUCGGGUUGUAAAGCUCUUUUGGCCGGAAAGAAAAGGCUACGGAUAACACCCGUGGCUCUUGACGGUACCGGCAGAAUAAGCACCGGCUAACUACGUGCCAGCAGCCGCGGUAAUACGUAGGGUGCGAGCGUUAAUCGGAAUUACUGGGCGUAAAGCGUGCGUAGGUGGUUCUUUGUGU
Molecule: ribosomal RNA, 585 nt
Filed under: uncultured bacterium
Lineage: Bacteria
Description: bacterial SSU rRNA
Rfam family: Bacterial small subunit ribosomal RNA
Source: RNAcentral